Eriocheir sinensis (Chinese mitten crab) is the source of this 652-nucleotide long non-coding RNA. RefSeq lists it as uncharacterized. The transcript has 5 exons. The record is from RefSeq and is a predicted model, not a curated record. NCBI's taxonomy places the organism in Eukaryota, Metazoa, Arthropoda, Malacostraca, Decapoda, Varunidae.
AACCGGCCAACACACACACACACACACACACACACACACACACACAUCUGGGAAAGAGUUCGCGAAAGAGCGAUGUUCUGCUACAGCUGAUAUCAAGACCAUUGGGGUAUUUAACAAGACCUGCUAUCAAUUCAACGUAGACGAUGGAAGCUCAUUUGACUCCGCGCGGGAAAAAUGUAAACAAGCCGACGCCACCAUCACCGCCUCAGCGCGAAAUACCUCCCACCCUUCUGUCUCUCGCUCUAUCUCUCCGGAUCUCGCUCACUCGCUCACCGCCGUGACUCACCUCUGAGUUAGAGCGACGAGAGACAGCUUUGAAAGGAGACCUGGUGUGGAUCGGGCUGAGGAGAGACCCGGGAUUUAUUUCGCGGACAUGGCGUUGGGUGGACGGUACUGUAGUGACUGAGCCGAAGUGGGGGAAACAGCAACCAAACAACUACAACGGCAAGCAGGACUGUGUGGCGCUGGAUCGUGGUAGAAAAUGGUUGUGGAACGAUGUUGGUUGUGAGCUGGACUACCUACCAUAUAUCUGCAUGUCUGCCCCCAGGUCAUGCAGGUCGCCGGACAAGCAGGUCAACACCACGAUGGAGGUCACAGGUCACUCCACGGGUCAAAUCGUGACCUAUACAUGUCCAGUCGGGUCCAAACUUGA